UGACAGAAGAAGCACGAACAGGGGGUUCCGUAACAGGUUUGUUAGCCCAAGCAUCAUCAUCGAAUUUCUGGGGUGUGGUUGACUUCGGACGAGUCGCUGGUGGACUAGGUGCUUUUUCAACGACCUCCUUGGCAGGUGCUGCUGGAGGAGCAGGUUCGGCAACCGGCGCUGGGAUGGGGGCAGGUACUGCGACUGGGGCAGCAAGUGCCUCCCCGCCGGACAUAAUUUGGUUGACUGUGGACUUGGUUUCUGGAGUAAUG
Molecule: non-coding RNA, 260 nt
Organism: Schizosaccharomyces pombe (fission yeast)
Lineage: Eukaryota; Fungi; Ascomycota; Schizosaccharomycetes; Schizosaccharomycetales; Schizosaccharomycetaceae
Source: the annotation of a GenBank genome assembly